CCUACGGGAGGCAGCAGUGAGGAAUAUUGGUCAAUGGCCGGAAGGCUGAACCAGCCAAGCCGCGUGAAGGACGAAGGUGCCAAGCAUUGUAAACUUCUUUUGUCAAGGGACAAAAUCAGGCUCGAGAGCCUGACCGAGGGUACUUGAAGAAAAAGCAUCGGCUAACUCCGUGCCAGCAGCCGCGGUAAUACGGAGGAUGCGAGCGUUAUCCGGAUUUAUUGGGUUUAAAGGGUGCGUAGGCGGGCUGUUAAGGUAGCGGUAAAAGGCCGGGGCUCAACCCGGGAAAGGCCUUUAAACCGGUGUAUCUAGAGAGGACAGUGGGUAGGCGGAAGGCAUGGUGGAGUGGUGAAAUGCUGAGAGAUGAGACAGAACACCGAUUGAGAAGGCAGCAUACCAACGGAUAUCUGCCGUUGAGGCACGAAAGCGUGGGGAGCAAACAGGAUUAGAUACCCGUGUAGUC
RNAcentral lists this ribosomal RNA (460 nucleotides) under uncultured bacterium. RNAcentral describes it as "partial 16S ribosomal RNA". It matches the Rfam family "Bacterial small subunit ribosomal RNA", at positions 338 to 795 of the family's 1533-position model. The record is from RNAcentral.